AUUGAACGCUGGCGGCAGGCUUAACACAUGCAAGUCGAGCGGGGUGAUGGUGCUUGCACUAUCACUUAGCGGCGGACGGGUGAGUAAUGCUUAGGAAUCUGCCUAUUAGUGGGGGACAACAUCUCGAAAGGGAUGCUAAUACCGCAUACGUCCUACGGGAGAAAGCAGGGGAUCACUUGUGACCUUGCGCUAAUAGAUGAGCCUAAGUCGGAUUAGCUAGUUGGUGGGGUAAGGGCCUACCAAGGCGACUAUCUGUAGCGGGUCUGAGAGGAUGAUCCGCCACACUGGGACUGAGACACGGCCCGGAGUCCUACGGGAGGCAGCAGUGGGGAAUAUUGGACAAUGGGGGGAACCCUGAUCCAGCCAUGCCGCGUGUGUGAAGAAGGCCUUAUGGUUGUAAAGCACUUUAAGCGAGGAGGAGGCUCUUUUGGUUAAUACCCAAGAUGAGUGGACGUUACUCGCGGAAUAAGCACCGGCUAACUCUGUGCCAGCAGCCGCCGUAA
This 503-nucleotide ribosomal RNA is filed under the name uncultured bacterium. RNAcentral describes it as "partial 16S ribosomal RNA". It matches the Rfam family "Bacterial small subunit ribosomal RNA", at positions 30 to 523 of the family's 1533-position model. The record is from RNAcentral.